UUACCCUACUGAUGCCCGCGUC
RNAcentral lists this non-coding RNA (22 nucleotides) under Arabidopsis thaliana (thale cress). The record is from RNAcentral. Lineage: Eukaryota; Viridiplantae; Streptophyta; Magnoliopsida; Brassicales; Brassicaceae.